GGGCCCGUGGCGCAGCCCGGACAGCGCGGCAACAACCUCAAGAGCUGACGGUCGCGGGUUCGAAUCCCGCCGGGCCCGCCA
RNAcentral lists this transfer RNA (81 nucleotides) under Thermoprotei archaeon. RNAcentral describes it as "tRNA-Leu". It matches the Rfam family "tRNA". From Rfam's summary of the family: Transfer RNA (tRNA) molecules are approximately 80 nucleotides in length. Their secondary structure includes four short double-helical elements and three loops (D, anti-codon, and T loops). The record is from RNAcentral. Lineage: Archaea; Thermoproteati; Thermoproteota; Thermoprotei.